RNAcentral lists this ribosomal RNA (492 nucleotides) under uncultured bacterium. RNAcentral describes it as "partial 16S ribosomal RNA". It matches the Rfam family "Bacterial small subunit ribosomal RNA", at positions 29 to 507 of the family's 1533-position model. The record is from RNAcentral.
AGUGAACGCUGGCGGUAGGCCUAACACAUGCAAGUCGAACGGCAGCACAGUAAGAGCUUGCUCUUACGGGUGGCGAGUGGCGGACGGGUGAGGAAUACAUCGGAAUCUACUUUUUCGUGGGGGAUAACGUAGGGAAACUUACGCUAAUACUGCAUACGACCUACGGGUGAAAGCAGGGGAUCUUCGGACCUUGCGCGAUUGAAUGAGCCGAUGUCGGAUUAGCUAGUUGGCUGGGUAAAGGCCCACCAAGGCGACGAUCCGUAGCUGGUCUGAGAGGAUGAUCAGCCACACUGGAACUGAGACACGGUCCAGACUCCUACGGGAGGCAGCAGUGGGGAAUAUUGGACAAUGGGCGCAAGCCUGAUCCAGCCAUACCGCGUGGGUGAAGAAGGCCUUCGGGUUGUAAAGCCCUUUUGUUGGGAAAGAAAAGCAGCAGGUUAAUACCCCGCUGUUCUGACGGUACCCAAAGAAUAAGCACCGGCUAACUUCGUG